Long non-coding RNA from Neopelma chrysocephalum (saffron-crested tyrant-manakin), 242 nucleotides. RefSeq lists it as uncharacterized. Lineage: Eukaryota; Metazoa; Chordata; Aves; Passeriformes; Pipridae. The transcript has 4 exons. The record is from RefSeq and is a predicted model, not a curated record.
GCCUGCUGUGUCAGCCAGCAGAGGCUGACCUGGACACCUGCGGGGAAAAACUCCAGAGAAAUGGAUUCUGUGCCCACGAGUUCUGCCUGUUUUUUGCCAGCCACCUUCCUCAGCACAAUGAUGAUCAAGUAGGACCCUUUGGCUUUCUCCCAAGGGAUAUCCAAGAUGUAUCUCCUGGGCAGCAGAGCAGGCCACCAUCAUGGGAGGGCAUUAAUGCAUUCACCGAGCAAGGAGAGAGACAC